This 1854-nucleotide long non-coding RNA is filed under the name Physcomitrium patens. RNAcentral describes it as "long non-coding RNA (PPAT_LNC008806)". Lineage: Eukaryota; Viridiplantae; Streptophyta; Bryopsida; Funariales; Funariaceae. The record is from RNAcentral.
UUACAAUCAAUUGCAGACUGGAACUCAGUGGUUGUCUUCACUUUGAUAAUGUUGCUACGCCUUCGACAUUUAUCACAGUGAGAAAAUCUAAAUUUUUACACUGGAAACAUCCUUCUACAUGCACAAGGAGCGAAAAGAUAGCCUCUAGCCUGUUCUGAAGAUCAUGCGCUCGCCCCUAGUUGUCAAUCACCCUCUCUUCAAGUGAAUGUGGAUGAAGUGGAUUGGUCUUGACACACCUUGAGUGUAGGUGUUCGUGCUAAUCCAAUGAGUCUGAUGGACACUCGUUGGGACAUGUUGGGCAUCGCUUUGCUCUCUCGAAGUCAGAAUCUGCACACUGCAGACCGAACUCAGCGGAUACUUUCUUCUCAUCAUUAUCGUCCACAGCUCCUAAGGGAUAAGAGACCAAAAAUUCAACAGUACAAGAUAUCAACGUCCCUUGAACUUCAAAAAUUGUUCAAGUGAUACACAAAUUUACGAAUCAGUCAUGAAGAAUAAUGCUCAUACCUAUACUUGAUUCAAACAGCCUGUAUUCUUAACACUUCCAUCCCCGCGAACUCGAAACAUAAAUGUACUUAGGGAUAAUACAUUUUUUUUCCAAUUGGGAGCCACAAAAAAGUUUCACAGGGAAAUCGCUGGAAAGACCAUGCAACUGAAUACAUGACUUACGAUCUGUAACACAAAAAAGCACUAUAAGACAUAAUAUUAACGCUGCAAGGCUGUCCAAAUAUAAUAAUGGUUCAAUCUUCAAUCUGAACUCAUGUGCAAUUCAGUGAUAUAUCACACCCUGCAGACGAAAAGGUUAUAUUCUCCUUUAGGCAUCAAUUGCUUUAAUUCUAAGAACUGAAUUGACAGAUAUAAUUAUGUAUAUGAGAAUCCGUCACGGACACAGACUUGUGAUAUGCCCAUCUAAAGUGUCUCAUGGCUUCAAGUGGCCUUAAUUUAUGUCCAUAUUUACGACAGUCACGCUUCUAAUGCGUCCAGUCAAGAAUCAGGACAAUUUUAUCAUGAAAUGCAGAAAACCCACUCAUUGUGACUGCUAUCAGUCGAAAUUGUACACAAAAAUGCCCGCUCGGUGAGAGAUAAAGAGGCAGAGUUAUACAAAUGACACACCAGAACCUUCGAAGCCAACCUUGGUAUCGAAGAAUGAACGAUUCUGCAAAAUAUCCGGUACAACUGUCGAGCAUUGUUAGGCUGAUACCAACUGAACCAGGCUCAAAAUCCAUAUGCUGAUGAUGAAGAAGCUACUUGUAUCGAUAACAUCUACGAUGACAUUUUCGCAGUGUUUACAAUCUUUGCAUUACGAGCGCAUGAUCAAAGAUGCUAGCACGCUUCUUUCAAUACGAAGAAGAGGGAACUUCACGUCCUACCUCUGCAUCGGUGCGUGUGAACGCGGCAUCAAAAUGCUUGGAAGCCAGCAGUUUCAAAAGCAUUUCCUUACUCCUGCACAAAUUUCAUGCACUGAUAAGCUGAUAUACAAGAAAAAGCAUUAACUCCAAAAUAUCUCCGUGAUGGAUAUCUACUGUAGGAUAAAAGAUUAGAGGAAACUGUCUUUACAUUUACCCAAAAGGAACAGCAAUUCACAUGCAUGACAAAGUCGAAAUGUGCUAACAGAUAGAGCGAAAAGGUAUCGAUCACUUAGACAGAAAUCUACCAGCGGUUCACAGCAUGACCGGACCAUCAAACAAACCCUCGCCAUCUCCUCCAGAACGAUAAUAUUUUCGCUCGAAAUCUUGGAUAAUACAGUAAGGGUGGACCCACGAACAUCAGGACUAUGUAAAGAAAUGGGUCCAUGCCCAAGGAAAGAAAAGGCAAACAAGAAAAAAUUGCUUUCUGACAAGUAGUAGCAGAUGAUAC